CGGUUGGGAGGGCUGCGGCUCGCGGUCCACUGAGGUCAACACCUCACCCGGCUG
This 54-nucleotide non-coding RNA is filed under the name unclassified sequences. Its description in RNAcentral is "DUF3800-VI RNA". It matches the Rfam family "DUF3800-VI RNA". Rfam says of the family: Actinobacteria, Planctomycetes, Proteobacteria, Spirochaetes. Nearby to DUF3800 The record is from RNAcentral.